This 583-nucleotide ribosomal RNA is filed under the name Sordaria fimicola. Its description in RNAcentral is "eukaryotic LSU rRNA". The stretch from base 219 to 372 matches the Rfam family "5.8S ribosomal RNA". The record is from RNAcentral. Lineage: Eukaryota; Fungi; Ascomycota; Sordariomycetes; Sordariales; Sordariaceae.
UCCGUAGGGGUGACUGCGGAGGGAUCAUUACAGAGUUGCAAAACUCCAACAAACCAUCGCGAAUCUUACCCGUACGGUUGCCUCGGCGCUGGCGGUCCGGAAGGCCCUCGGGCCCCCGGAUCCUCGGGUCUCCCGCUCGCGGGAGGCUGCCCGCCGGAGUGCCGAAACCAAACUCUUGAUAUUUUAUGUCUCUCUGAGUAAACUUUUAAAUAAGUCAAAACUUUCAACAACGGAUCUCUUGGUUCUGGCAUCGAUGAAGAACGCAGCGAAAUGCGAUAAGUAAUGUGAAUUGCAGAAUUCAGUGAAUCAUCGAAUCUUUGAACGCACAUUGCGCUCGCCAGUAUUCUGGCGAGCAUGCCUGUUCGAGCGUCAUUUCAACCAUCAAGCUCUGCUUGCGUUGGGGAUCCGCGUCUGACGCGGUCCCUCAAAAACAGUGGCGGGCUCGCUAGUCACACCGAGCGUAGUAACUCUACAUCGCUAUGGUCGUGCGGCGGGUUCUUGCCGUAAAACCCCCAAUUUCUAAGGUUGACCUCGGAUCAGGUAGGAAUACCCGCUGAACUUAAGCAUAUCAAUAAGCGGAGGA